GCCGACGUGGCGGAAUAGGCAGACGCGCUAGACUCAAAAUCUGGUACCCGUAAGGGUGUGUGGGUUCAAUUCCCUCCGUCGGCACCA
Molecule: transfer RNA, 87 nt
Filed under: Limisphaerales bacterium
Lineage: Bacteria; Pseudomonadati; Verrucomicrobiota; Verrucomicrobiia; Limisphaerales
Description: Verrucomicrobia subdivision 3 bacterium (sediment metagenome) tRNA-Leu
Rfam family: tRNA
About the family: Transfer RNA (tRNA) molecules are approximately 80 nucleotides in length. Their secondary structure includes four short double-helical elements and three loops (D, anti-codon, and T loops).
Source: RNAcentral